Vicia faba (fava bean) is the source of this 279-nucleotide non-coding RNA. Lineage: Eukaryota; Viridiplantae; Streptophyta; Magnoliopsida; Fabales; Fabaceae. The record is from the annotation of a GenBank genome assembly.
AUGUCGUUCAUCUUCCAUCUUCAUGCCAUGAUCUUCACUAAACCUUGCUUCACCAUUGAACUAACCAUGCUUCAAAACUAUUUCUCCAUCAAAAAUCUGGCUGUUGUAGCCCUGCAAAUAAAACCAAAACCAGUUCCAAACAAAACUAAACUGGCCCUGCAUCAGUUAUGGGCAAAAAACCAGCCCCGCGACAUAAACCGGUUCAAAUCCGCGCUUUGCGACUUCAAGCCAUGUUCAAAACCAAUACAACCCUGCAUUUUGAUUCUUGCAACCAAAUAA